Molecule: ribosomal RNA, 468 nt
Filed under: uncultured bacterium
Lineage: Bacteria
Description: partial 16S ribosomal RNA
Rfam family: Bacterial small subunit ribosomal RNA
Source: RNAcentral
GACGAACGCUGGCGGCGUGCUUAACACAUGCAAGUCGAACGGAAAGGCCCUGCUUUUGUGGGGUGCUCGAGUGGCGAACGGGUGAGUAACACGUGAGUAACCUGCCCUUGACUUUGGGAUAACUUCAGGAAACUGGGGCUAAUACCGGAUAGGAGCUCCUGCUGCAUGGUGGGGGUUGGAAAGUUUCGGCGGUUGGGGAUGGACUCGCGGCUUAUCAGCUUGUUGGUGGGGUAGUGGCUUACCAAGGCUUUGACGGGUAGCCGGCCUGGGAGGGUGACCGGCCACAUUGGGACUGAGCUACGGCCCAGACUCCUACGGGAGGCAGCGGUGGAGAAUAUUGCACAAUGGGCGGGAGCCUGAUGCAGCAACGCCGCGUGCGGGAUGACGGCCUUCGGGUUGUGAACCGCUUUCGCCUGUGACGAAGCGUGAGUGACGGUAAUGGGUGAAGAAGCACCGGCUAACUACGUG